GUCUAUGGCCAUACCACUCUGUACGCAUCUGAUCUUGUCUGAUCUCGGAAGCUAAGCAGGGUCGGUCCUGGUUAGUAGUUGAAUGGGAGAAAUAAGAAAGGAAAUAUUACAA
Molecule: non-coding RNA, 112 nt
Organism: Heterocephalus glaber (naked mole-rat)
Lineage: Eukaryota; Metazoa; Chordata; Mammalia; Rodentia; Bathyergidae
Source: Rfam